Hemibagrus wyckioides is the source of this 753-nucleotide long non-coding RNA. RefSeq lists it as uncharacterized. The record is from RefSeq and is a predicted model, not a curated record. Lineage: Eukaryota; Metazoa; Chordata; Actinopteri; Siluriformes; Bagridae. The transcript has 3 exons.
CCCUGUCAAGGGCGUGUCUUGUGUCGGGUGUCAUAGAGACACUUCACACUGGAAAGCAGCACUGAAUAAUUUGUUAAUAAAAUCAUAUGUAGAUAAAUGUCUUUUCGGGAAAGUGUUUUUUUUUUAUCUAACUAGGUCUGGAUAACUAGGGUUGAGUUUAAACACAGUAUAAUACAGGGGCAGUUUUACUUUCUUUUUUAUUUUGCACAUACAGUAAGACGACGUUUUAUUUCAAGGCAGGACAAUGGCAUCAAACCGGCUGAAUGAUAUCUGGGAAAUGUUAAAAGCUCUAGCAGAAUAUCGACAUUUGAUUGUAAAGAAGAAUGACCUGGCGGCAGGGGCAGUCAUCGGAGCAGUCUGUACUGGUGUGGGAAGUUUUUUUGGCCCAGGUGGAUUGGCAGCAGGUGCUGCUGUAGGAGUUGUAACUGCAGCUUGGUGGACUGCAGAUGAAGAGAGACCUCUGACCCAAGUUCUCAGGGAUCUUCCAAGAGAACUGAAGGAUAAACUCUCCACUGGUGUCAGUGCACUGCUUGAAGGGUUGGUCUGGCCGACUCUGGCUGCCCUUCAGGAGAGAGUUAUGAGAAAUGAAAUCCUACUGAACAAAAUUCUAAGUUUCCUUCAACAUGUUUUUGAGCAACACCACAUGGGACACGUAGUACCAAGAUUACCCUAAACAAAAAAUACAAAUUCAAACUCUGUCUACUGCACCUGUUGUGUGUGUGUGUACAUGUGUGUGUGUGUGUGUGUACCUGU